AUGUCCUCUUGUCGGUGUGUAUUUCUCUUAUUUGUCAUUUUACUAGGAGACUGGUCGUGUGAACCGAUAGGGUCGAUGGCACAUCAAUCAUACACUACCCUCGCCGGUGCAGAAUGUUUCUUCAUUUUUUUGGGUGACUAUGCUGACAUGUGGGUCUGUUGCAGGCUUAGAAAAUUAUAUGCCAUACAAAUCGCAUGUGCCCCUCGUUGUCUUAGCCUUCGCUCGCUCGUGGAAAAAUAUCUCCGUGGGCCUUUGAUUCUCAAAAGCUACCUUUUUGUGAUUCUCAAAACAUGGUAUAAAUAA
RNAcentral lists this ribosomal RNA (303 nucleotides) under Triticum aestivum (bread wheat). RNAcentral's name for it is "partial small subunit ribosomal RNA". Lineage: Eukaryota; Viridiplantae; Streptophyta; Magnoliopsida; Poales; Poaceae. The record is from RNAcentral.